CAUCUCUUCCCCAAGCAUUCAUUCUUGCCCAUUCACUCCCUAUCCUUCCUCCCAGAAGUAACAACUAUUAAUAAAUUAAUACAUAGUCUUCGGUACUUUUUUUCUUUGCAUACAAGCAUAUAUUAUUUGUGUACAUAGAUGUGUCUACAGUUCAUUUUAUAUUGUACAAAAUCUCUUAUACUGUUCUGCAACUUUUUUUUCACCUAAAAAAAUGUAUCCUGGACAUCUUUUCAUGUCUGUACAUGUGAAUCAUUCCUUUUUAAUGACUGUGUAAGAUUCUACUAUAUAAAUGUACCAUAAUUUAUUUAAUCAGUCCCCUAUUAAUGGACAUUUAGGUUGUUUCCAAUGUUUUCUAUUACAAACAGUGCUGCAGUGAACAUCCUUGUACAUAUAUCUUUGUGUGCUUUUUAGGAUAAAUUCCUAGAAGUGGAAUUGCUGGAUCCAAGGGUAUGCACACUUUAAAUUUUGAUAGAUACUGCCAAAUUGCCUGCCACAAAGGCUGUAGUAGUUUACAUUCUCACCAACAGUGUAUGAGUGCCCAUUUCCCCACACCUGCACCAACACUGGAUACUUUUGAUCUUUGCUAAAAAAAUAGGCAAAUAGUAUCUCAUUAUUUUUAUGUGGAUUAAAAACAAAUUAAUAGUGAGGUUAAGCAUCUUUUCAUAUUGACCAUUUGUUUUUCUUCUGUGAAUUACCUGUUUGUAUUCUUUACCCAUUUUUCUAUUGGGUCGUUUUUCUUACUGAUUUGUGGGGUGGUUGUUUAUAUUGAAUAUUAACCCUUUAACUAUUAUCUGUGUCUCUCAAUUAAAUUUUCACUUUGUUCCUUUUGCCAGGUGAAAAGUUUUACUUUUUAUAUAAUCAAAUUGAUCCUUGAUGACUCUUAGUUUCAUGUCUUGUUUAGGUAUUUCCUACUCCAAAGUAACAAAAAUAUUCUCCUAUAUUCUCUUCUAGUUCUUUUAUGAUAAUUAUGUCUAGCUCUCUAACCUAUUAGAAUUUAGUCUUCUGUUUGGUGUGAAGUAGGAUUCUGACUUUUUCCAAAGGGACAGCUAGUGUGCAAGCACAAUUUAUUGAAAAUCUGUCCUUUUUCCACUAAUCUGGGAUGCUAUGUUUAUCAUGUCCUAAAUUUCUGUAUACACAUGGGUCUGUUUCUGGACUCUCUUAUGUACUGUUGAUCUAUUUUGUAUCUUUCUAAAGCCAUAUGAAAAGGAAUUUAAUCUUUAGAACCUUCAGAAACUUUAUUUUCUGUCCUGGAUAUACCUCUAAGACUUAAAGCCAUUGUGACACCUGAUGGAUAUUCCAUGGUCUUCUCUAUGCCCGAGCACCCCCAUAAGCCACUAAUUUCUUUGAGUGUGAAACUCACCUGGGACGCAUUGCUGACUUUAGCCCUGUGGCUUAUUCUUGAGAGGAGACAUCCAGACAGGAUGUGACAUGGAGGCUUGGAGGGGAUUAAUACCCUGAGAAACGAUGACCACGUAAUUUUAUGCUUCAUCUAAGAAUGUGGUUUACUUCAUGGUAGACAUCUGGGUUCUUGGCUGAAGUUUCCACUCUUUCUUAACACCUCAGACCUCACUCUGAUGUCAGAGGGAAAGAAAAUGGGAGGACUUUGAUUGGCCUUUUCAGCUGGAUGAUGGGCCUCACCAGCACAGAAUGUGUGGCUUUGCUCAAAGGUGAAUGCUGUGUGUUUCUCUCAAGACACUUAGUUUUUGUUUGGGCCUUUAGGUAUCAGCUCCAAUAUUUUAAUGUAGAAUUGAGAUUUUGGUUUGUAUAGCUUAAAAAAUUAAAGUUUGUUUCCCUUUAAUACCUUGUACUGUUAUCUAAGAAGAGCCAUGCUACAAUUUCAUAUUACCUCUAAUGUUACAUAUAUUUUUCUGAUGAAUUUUCUCGAAGGCUGACUUAGGUAAUUUGAUAGCUUACUAUACAUUUCAUAGAAAGUCACUUUUAAUUGUAAGAUAAUUAUUACUUGCAAGUCAUGUUUUCCUAUUGACAUUAUUUUCAUUUAUCAACUAAUAGAAACUAUUAUACCUUUUUAACUUUUACUGUUUCAGAAAAAUAUGCCCAAAUUCAACAAAAUUCCUUUCUACCUCCAACCUCAUGCAUCUUCAGGAGCAAAAACCUUAAAAAAAGAUAGACUCUCUGCUAGUGACAUGCUCCAAGUCCGAAAAGUUAUGGAACAUGUUUAUGAAAAAAUUAUCAACUUGGAUAAUGAGUCUCAAACCACUAGCUCUUCUAAUAAUGAAAAACCAGGAGAACAGGAAAAAGAAGAAGAUAUUGCUGUGUUGGCAGAGGAGAAAAUUGAACUUUUGUGCCAGGACCAGGUAAGUGGACUUGAGGACGUACAGCCCCAAUUUUUCCAGUGCGGGUGCUCAUAGUUACAUGCCUUUGGGUGGGGGGCUUCUAGUUUUAGAGGGGCUCUAAGGAGCCCUGGGCCUCUCCCACCUAAAGCUCACCCUAAAGCUCCUCUUUACUGCUGGGGAGAUUUUCAGAGAAGGGAUACAUAGGCAAAUGUGGAUAUGUUGGUAGCUUUUUUUUCUGACAAGGCACAUGGUCUUCUUGAUUUGCAAAGCAGCAUAUGCCAUGUUAGUUUAUGAUUUAGAGUGAAGGUGUGUGGAGAAAUGGCAGAACUGUUUUUUAAAUCAAGAUGCCCUCAAAACGUAUCCUCAGAGGAAUGGCUGAAAGAUGGCCUGGUGUUUCUGGCAUAGUCACAAAAGAUGUACAUCUCACUAAGCUCAAUUUCAUUCCCGCAUGCAUGGAAGCCGUGACAGCAAGAAUUGGAUACCAGGCAUAGGGGAGGAGUGAGCAAGCUGGAUCACCUGAUGAGAGUCCCUGAGUUAAUGAUAAAGGUUUUAGAUAUUAGAGACUUUGAAAUUUUUAAAUUUAAUUUUGGCUAUUCAGGUUUUGGAUCCAAAUAUGGACCUUCGAACAGUGAAACACUUCAUAUGGAAGAGCGGUGGAGACCUCACCCUCCAUUACCGUCAGAAGUCCACGUGAAGGGUGGGCUAAUGCUCCUGGGUAUUCAUUUAUGACCUUCCUCUGUGGCCCCAAGAGUAGUCCCAGGGAGCCCACUGAGCCCCAACGGGAGCAAGACUUCUAACGGCUGAUUUGGUAUGGACCGAGAUUAUCUUUCAAUUGAAGUGACUAAUCGAGAUGUAAUAUAGAAACCAGUCUCCAUGUGUAGAUUAAGCUGUCCCCAGGGAAGCAGAGUGCAAGAGCAGAAGAGCCCCAAGCAGACUAUGCCUUUCGAGAUGUACAGAAGACUGACAACAGGCCAGUGCAGACUUUGCUUCCUCCUUUUGUUUCAAAGGACCUUAUCUGUCCGUUAGCACUUGUCAGAGACACCUCGGUCGGGCCACAACUGUCUGUUUCACCUUCAAACCCACACACUCUGUAGCUUUUCUAAAAGAGUAUAUUCCAUUCAUGCAAUAGAUAUGAAGGCUUUUUCCAAGUUUGUCAUAUAAAAAAAUCAAAUUGUUUUCACCAUUUAAGACAGUUAUUUUUAAUGGGAAUUUGCUGUUGCACAAUUUGAGAACCAGCCCAUUUCGUAAUAAAAGAUUAAUGUUGGGCUUGUUUUUAAUAUUGCAUCUCAGAUGUGUUCUUGUAGGAAGAUCUGUUGAAAUUCCAGGUGCUGGAUCAUAGCACUUGGACUGCUGGGCCAGAGUUUGUGCAGCCCGUGCCUAGCGAUGCUGCACCUCCCAUGAUGUCCUGGCUUUGUGGCAACCCCAGGGAGGUGCAGCCGUUUCACUCCUUCCUCCACUGUGUCCAGUUUUAUUUAAACAAAGCGAGCUGAGACCACAGGUUCUUGCUGUGGAUGAGCAGCAUGACACCAUCAAAACUUAAGACCAUGAUGAAAUUUCAGUUUCAUUCAAAUGUUACCUAAAAUUUAUGGUAUCAGAAUAAAGGGAGAUCAUAGUGAGUUAAUUUGAUAUUCAUAUCCUGGAAGUAUACAUAUUUGUUUUUCCAAAGUUUUAUAUGCAGGUUUUUGUUGUACCUGUAUCCAGAUCUUUUCACUGUUCUAACAAUCUAACACUUUCAUAGAAUCAUUUGGAUCUUGUAUAGAAUGUAACUUAUUGGGGAUAAACACUUCAACUUUUGGCAGAAAAUACUUUGGAUUCUCCCCAAGGUCAUUUGUAUUCAGAGUAAAUCAAUGGUCCACCGCCAUAAAACUGUAAGACAAGCCUCCUGUAUGAAGCCAGAAGCACAAGUGCCUUCAGAGGGCAGUUGAUUCCAGUCCAGUUGCCUCCCUAGCUUGUGUGUGGCCUGCCUCCACCAUAGCAGGGACUAGGGAGGGAGGCAGGGAAGGUUUUUUUCUUUUCUACAUCUUCACAGGUUCGGCUGGUGGCAGCUGAUAGGCCUAAGUCCAUACCUUACUAUUUAAGAUACUCUGAUCGCACAACUGCAGAGACAGGGUUCCCUCACUGCUAGUCAGCUUCCUUUGGAAACUGGACAGGCCAUUGUCACCUGCACUUUGAAGAAGUGAGCAAAGACGUGGCCACAUUUCUAAUAAGUUGAAAUGGUCUUUCUCCCUUCCUCAGAGAGCAACCAGCUUCUUUUUCUUAAAAGUCCUUUCUAUCUGUUGGAUACAACAGUGCGCUUUUGGUGCACAUUUUUUAGCAAUAGUUGUGAAUUAAUGGCAAAAAAAAAAUUAUUUACCAGCCCUCAGUUGUGUUUGCCCGAGGGGCCUUUGAGCAAAGAAAUGGGUUUUGCUGGGUCAUUUUGCCCUGUGUGCUAAGCCUUGGGUGGCUGCAUUCCCCUCCUGUCAUCGAUCUGACCCCCAGCAUGAUUGUAUUUCUUUCCCCUCCAGUCAAACCGUAAUACAGUUUCCAGAAAAUCUGACAGUCUGCAAUGACAAAAGGGUAAAAAUCUGUAUUUCACAGUUGUAUAGAAUAAAGGCUUUAGUUAAAAUA
Molecule: small RNA, 4901 nt
Filed under: Pongo abelii (Sumatran orangutan)
Lineage: Eukaryota; Metazoa; Chordata; Mammalia; Primates; Hominidae
Description: processed transcript
Source: RNAcentral